Fukomys damarensis (Damara mole-rat) is the source of this 1657-nucleotide long non-coding RNA. The record is from Ensembl. Lineage: Eukaryota; Metazoa; Chordata; Mammalia; Rodentia; Bathyergidae.
UUUAAAAAGUCUGGAGAUGUCACCUAGUAACUACGAGUCACAUACCAUUUUGCAUAGGGAAAGAACGGAAGCAAGCUACCGCUACAGAAGCAACUCCGUGAGGCCCCGGAGGAGAACCACAAUGGGCUGGGACAGUCAUGGCAGACUCUGCUGCUGGCAGCUGUGAAGGGCUGAGAUGGAGCCCUCCCGGUGGUGGGCAGUGGGCGCAACCCUGACCUGCAUCCUCAGCAUGGUGGGAAUGGAAGGAAGAGAGCCUACAUUAACCAACAGAGCGACAGUAUGGAUAGCCUUGGGUAGAUUCGACUGGAUCCUGGAAGUUUCAGUCUUCUUAAAAGUACACAUUUUAAUGAUGAUUCUCCUUGUAUCCUUUCUACCUAUUUGAUUUCUUUUUUCCUGCCUCAGAUGGAGCCCAAGAACCCAGGAGAUUGUGGAGAAUGAGGACAAAACAGUAAUCCUUGUUCAUUAUCCCCAAAAGGGACUGUUUCAGUGGCAUAGUAAGGGGCUUACUGAGCAAAUGAGGCAAGAUGGCAUUCAUGACUUUCUGGGCUGAGGUCAGGGUGGAUGGACAGCAUAGCAGAGGGCUUGGGAGCCAGGGAGGCCUGGGUUCAAGGCUCAGUAUGGACCGUUUCUAGUUGCAUGCUUUGGCUGAAGUCCUCGUCUCUCUAGGUGACAGUUUCCUUGACUGUGAAAUGCGGAUGUCAGCAGGGUUUCCCCAGGUGAGGGCUAGGUGAAGGGUAUUGGAAGCAAGGUAUUGGAGGCUUAGGAGCCAGAACAAUGAAGAAAGCAGCUAUGGGGACGGAGACACGCAGGCAGCAGUAAGACUCCAACAGAAGCCAAAAUAACUGGCUAAGGGAGCAAAAAGGAGAAGAGUACAGCAACCAAGCAUGGCAUCACUGUCCUACCAGCUUGACUCAGACCCCAAAUCUGUCUGACCUCGAGGUGACACAGGCUUUUCACUGUGCCCUGAUCCCUGUUCUCUGACUCUCACAUGGACGCAUUUUUUUAGACCACGUACAUGGCUAUUUUGCUAAAGAUAAUCAAUUCCUUGCUUCCUUUGUCGGUGGACGUGGACGUGUGACCAAGUUCCAGCAGAUGGGAUGUGAGAAAAAAACAAUAGUACAGACAAGUUCUAGGUCAUGCCCUAAAAAGCAAAGAAUGUGUUUUUCUAUUUAUUUUUUUAUUGCUCCCAUUCCCGGUGGCUGGAAUCUAGAUAUGAUGGCUGGAACUGAUUCAGCUAACUUGGGCUAUGCAGCAAAAGCAGAGGGUUGAGGAUUAUGUAACAAAAAGACAAAAACUGACCACAUCUGCUACCUUGUUGAGGUUCCCCACUUUCCCCAGACAGCUCAUAUUUAGUCUAUUAGACAAAAGAGAACUAGAUUUUUUUUUUUUAUUGUUUAAGUCACUGGCAUUUUGGUUCAUUCAGUUAUUGUAACUGUACUUGCAUCCUAAAAAAUAAGAAACUCAUGCACAUUUAUACCUCGGGAUAAAUACUUCAUAGAGCUGUGAGAAUGAAGCCCUAUCUAAUACAUCAAGAUCAUUGAACUCAGUAUAUAACAUGACAUAAAUAUCGAGCCACUGUUUUCUGGAUAUAUGAGCAGUAUAGUCAGUCAGAGUACACUGUUGAUUGAGAAUUGCCCAGGUAGCUAUGGCCAGGGGC